Long non-coding RNA from Pipra filicauda (Wire-tailed manakin), 406 nucleotides. RefSeq lists it as uncharacterized. The transcript has 3 exons. The record is from RefSeq and is a predicted model, not a curated record. Lineage: Eukaryota; Metazoa; Chordata; Aves; Passeriformes; Pipridae.
UAGCUCUUCAUCAAAUAUGAUUAAUCUGGGCUUGAUUCUUUGGCUACUUUCCUCGCUUACUCCAUCAUGGGAUUGAAACACAUUUAUUGCAGUAUUGGGUUUUCCAGGGAAGAAAGUUCAGAAGGAGGUUUGGAAAUAGCCACAGAAAGUCCUAAUUGGGGUGGUGGGCCAGGAUUUGACAGCAGAGCAGAACAGACAAAGCCAAAACAACCUUUGAGCAACAGGUCUUUGGUCUCACCAGGAGAAGGUUGAUUUGCCCUGUAAUGGGCCACUAUGGCUGAACUCUGGAGCUUUAAUCAGGUGGUCUGGCCCUUCAAUAGCACACUUAGGGUUGGGUUUCUCUUCCUCCUCUUUUUUCCCCUCCUCCUUUUUUUCCCUCCUCCCUUUUUUUCCCUCCUCCUCCCUU